GACGAACGCUGGCGGCGUGCUUAACACAUGCAAGUCGAACGGAAAGGCCCUGCUUUUGUGGGGUGCUCGAGUGGCGAACGGGUGAGUAACACGUGAGUAACCUGCCCUUGACUUUGGGAUAACUUCAGGAAACUGGGGCUAAUACCGGAUAGGAGCUCCUGCUGCAUGGUGGGGGUUGGAAAGUUUCGGCGGUUGGGGAUGGACUCGCGGCUUAUCAGCUUGUUGGUGGGGUAGUGGCUUACCAAGGCUUUGACGGGUAGCCGGCCUGAGAGGGUGACCGGCCACAUUGGGACUGAGAUACGGCCCAGACUCCUACGGGAGGCAGCAGUGGGGAAUAUUGCACGAUGAGCGGAAGCCUGAUGCAGCAACGCCGCGUGCGGGAUGACGGCCUUCGGGUUGUAAACCGCUUUCGCCUGUGACGAAGCGUGAGUGACGGUAAUGGGUAAAGAAGCACCGGCUAACUACGUG
Molecule: ribosomal RNA, 468 nt
Filed under: uncultured bacterium
Lineage: Bacteria
Description: partial 16S ribosomal RNA
Rfam family: Bacterial small subunit ribosomal RNA
Source: RNAcentral